AAAGCUCGUAGUUGAAUUUCGGGAUUGACACAUCGGUCGUGCCUUAAGGGGUAUGAACUGGUGUAGUCAAUUUCUCACCUUCUGGAGAACCGCGAUGCCCUUAAUUGGGUGUCACGGGGAACCAGGACCUUUACUUUGAAAAAAUUAGAGUGUUUAAAGCAGGCAUUUUGCUUGAAUACAUUAGCAUGGAAUAAUAAAAUAGGACGGCAUGAUUCUAUUUUGUUGGUUUCUAGGAUCACCGUAAUGAUUAAUAGGGAUAGUUGGGGGCAUUAGUAUUCAAUUGUCAGAGGUGAAAUUCUUGGAUUUAUUGAAGACUAACUACUGCGAAAGCAUUUGCCAAGGAUGUUUUCAUUAAUCAAGAACGAAAGUUAGGGGAUCGAAGACGAUCAGAUACCGUCGUAGUCUUAACCAUAAACUAUGCCGACUAGGAAUCAGACGAUGUUAAUUUUUUAAUGACUCGUUCGGCACCUUACGGGAAA
RNAcentral lists this ribosomal RNA (479 nucleotides) under uncultured Glomus. RNAcentral's name for it is "SSU rRNA". It matches the Rfam family "Eukaryotic small subunit ribosomal RNA", at positions 623 to 1097 of the family's 1831-position model. Lineage: Eukaryota; Fungi; Glomeromycota; Glomeromycetes; Glomerales; Glomeraceae. The record is from RNAcentral.